CGGAACGGGUGAGUAACACAUCGGAACGUGCCCAGUAGUGGGGGAUAACCCGGCGAAAGCCGGACUAAUACCGCAUACGACCUACGGGUGAAAGCAGGGGAUCGCAAGACCUUGCGCUAUCGGAGCGGCCGAUGUCAGAUUAGCUUGUUGGCGGGGUAAAAGCCCACCAAGGCGACGAUCUGUAGCUGGUCUGAGAGGACGACCAGCCACACUGGGACUGAGACACGGCCCAG
Molecule: ribosomal RNA, 233 nt
Filed under: uncultured bacterium
Lineage: Bacteria
Description: partial 16S ribosomal RNA
Rfam family: Bacterial small subunit ribosomal RNA
Source: RNAcentral